UACGUAGGGUGCAAGCGUUGUCCGGAAUUAUUGGGCGUAAAGAGCUCGUAGGCGGUUUGUUGCGUCGGCUGUGAAAUCCCGAGGCUCAACCUCGGGUCUGCAGUCGAUACGAGCAAACUAGAGUGUUGCAGGGGAGACUGGAAUUCCAGGUGUAGCGGUGAAAUGCGCAGAUAUCAGGAGGAACACCGGUGGCGAAGGCAGCUCGCUGGGACGGUACUGACGCUAAGGCGCGAAAGCGUGGGGAGCGAACAGG
This 253-nucleotide ribosomal RNA is filed under the name uncultured bacterium. Its description in RNAcentral is "partial 16S ribosomal RNA". It matches the Rfam family "Bacterial small subunit ribosomal RNA", at positions 524 to 776 of the family's 1533-position model. The record is from RNAcentral.